RNAcentral lists this ribosomal RNA (303 nucleotides) under uncultured delta proteobacterium. RNAcentral describes it as "bacterial SSU rRNA". It matches the Rfam family "Bacterial small subunit ribosomal RNA", at positions 1077 to 1382 of the family's 1533-position model. Lineage: Bacteria; Deltaproteobacteria. The record is from RNAcentral.
GGGUUAAGUCCCGCAACGAGCGCAACCCCCGCCUUUAGUGCUACCAUUCAGUUGAGCACUCUAAAGGGACCGCCGGCGUUAAGCCGGAGGAAGGUGGGGAUGACGUCAAGUCCUCAUGGCCCUUAUGUCCAGGGCUACACACGUGCUACAAUGGGCGGUACAGAGGGUUGCCAACCCGCGAGGGGGAGCCAAUCCCAGAAAGCCGUCCUCAGUUCAGAUUGGAGUCUGCAACUCGACUCCAUGAAGGUGGAAUCGCUAGUAAUCGCGGAUCAGCAUGCCGCGGUGAAUACGUUCCCGGGCCUU